GACGAACGCUGGCGGCGUGCUUAACACAUGCAAGUCGAACGGGAACCUUUAUUUCGGUAAAGGUGAGAGUGGCAAACGGGUGAGUAACACGUAGGCAACCUGCCGACAGGAUGGGGACAACAUUCCGAAAGGAAUGCUAAUACCGAAUGGAGUCCGGAGAUGGCAUCAUCUCUGGAUAAAAGAUGGCCUCUGAAUAUGCUAUCGCCUGUCGAUGGGCCUGCGUCUGAUUAGCCAGUUGGCGGGGUAACGGCCCACCAAAGCGACGAUCAGUAGCCGGUCUGAGAGGAUGAACGGCCACAUUGGGACUGAGACACGGCCCAGACUCCUACGGGAGGCAGCAGUGGGGAAUCUUCCACAAUGGGCGAAAGCCUGAUGGAGCAACGCCGCGUGAGUGAAGAAGGUCUUCGGAUCGUAAAGCUCUGUUGCACGGGACGAAAACCGGGUUUGAGAAUAUUGAACUU
This 461-nucleotide ribosomal RNA is filed under the name Selenomonas sputigena. RNAcentral describes it as "bacterial SSU rRNA". It matches the Rfam family "Bacterial small subunit ribosomal RNA", at positions 28 to 472 of the family's 1533-position model. Lineage: Bacteria; Bacillati; Bacillota; Negativicutes; Selenomonadales; Selenomonadaceae. The record is from RNAcentral.